This 933-nucleotide ribosomal RNA is filed under the name Procamallanus fulvidraconis. RNAcentral describes it as "SSU rRNA". It matches the Rfam family "Eukaryotic small subunit ribosomal RNA", at positions 51 to 966 of the family's 1831-position model. The record is from RNAcentral. Lineage: Eukaryota; Metazoa; Nematoda; Chromadorea; Rhabditida; Camallanidae.
AUGCAUGUCAAAGUUCAAAUUGCUUAUAAUAGUGAAACCGCGAACGGCUCAUUACAACAGCCAUAAUAUACUUGAUGUUGAUCUUCCACGUGGAUAACUGUGGUAAUUCUAGAGCUAAUACAUGCACCAAAGCUCUGAUUUUUUGACGAGCGCAUCUAUUAGACCAAAAACCAAUCGAGAUUAUUCUUGCAUCCGUGCUCGAAAUUCUCGUAAAUUUGGUGACUCUGAAUAGCUUAGCUGAUCGCAUGGUCAAGUACCGGCGACGUAUCUAUCAAGUGUCUGCCUUAUCAACUUUCGAUGGUAGUUUAUAUGCCUACCAUGGUUGUAACGGGUAACGGAGAAUGAGGGUUCGACUCCGGAGAGGGAGCCUGAGAAACGGCUACCACAUCCAAGGAAGGCAGCAGGCGCGCAAAUUACCCACUCUCAGCACGAGGAGGUAGUGACGAAAAAUAACGAGACCGUUCUCUUCGAGGCCGGUUAUCGGAAUGAGUACAUCUUAAAGCCGUUAACAAGGAUCUAUGAGAGGGCAAGUCUGGUGCCAGCAGCCGCGGUAAUUCCAGCUCUCAAAGUGUAUAUCGUCAUUGCUGCGGUUAAAAAGCUCGUAGUUGGAUUUAAGCUCGAUGACUCGGUCCAUCCAUGUGGUGAGAACUGAGCUCAUCGGCUAAUAUUGCUGGUUUUGUUUAGGUGGCCUUAACUGGUCGCCUAGACUGGCUAGCGAGUUUACUUUGAAAAAAUUAGAGUGCUCAACGCGGGCUUAAUGCCUGAAUAGUCGUGCAUGGAAUAAUGGAAUAGGAUCUCGGUUCUAUUUUGUUGGUUUUCUGAUCUGAGAUAAUGGUUAAGAGGGACAGACGGGGGCAUUCGUAUCGCUGCGUGAGAGGUGAAAUUCUUGGACCGUAGCGAGACGCCCGACUGCGAAAGCAUUUGCCAAGAAUG